Bos taurus (domestic cattle) is the source of this 747-nucleotide long non-coding RNA. NCBI's taxonomy places the organism in Eukaryota, Metazoa, Chordata, Mammalia, Artiodactyla, Bovidae. The record is from Ensembl.
GGGCUUUAUUGGUUUUCUAUGUAACCCGAGGAAUAUUGGCCUCUCUCUCUCUCUUCCUCUUUUCUCUACACUUUUCUUUUCCAUGAGACCGACCAACUCCAGGACAGAGGCCUUUUGCCAUUCGAUCCCUUUACAUGCAACACUCCACUCAAGCCGGCCCCUAAAUUAAGAAAUUCCUCCAAGGCCGAAUCUGAGCCAUUUCCCAAGACCAAGUCAAGAUUGUUCUUUUGUUUGAGACCCUGAUGGCUAGAAUAAAAAUCAACACUACGGGCCUUAGACUUCCUUCCUCCCAGACCACAAACCCCUGAUCCUCAUUUAUCAGCAUGAAGAAGCCCUAAACAUUAACUGCGUCCAUCUCUCUUUCUCUUUUUAUAUAUAUUCCUUAGGGCCUGGAAUGAAGAAAAGUUACGUGGCUCAAAAUAGUCUGGAAUUAAAAUUCCCCUCCAGGUCCUCCCCACCAUUCUACGCAAAACAAAGAACUCUCUCACCCCGAGAAAAAAUGGACAUUAAGGUUGAUUAUGCCCAGCUCCCAGCCGGUCCAGCCUCUGGCCGAUCUCCAAAAUUCCUUGCUCCAGCCGUUUAAGAGAUAACUACUCUGAACAACCUUGGAGAAGAACAGGCCCCCUUAAGACAACAGCUUUCCACAUACAUGCCUAUAUGUACUUACUCUUUUCUUGGGUAAGUGCAGCAGCUCGAUAAUCUGACUGCUGCCCCUUCUCGCCUCAUUAAAGGUGAUCUGUUCCUAUA